RNAcentral lists this ribosomal RNA (1119 nucleotides) under uncultured bacterium. RNAcentral's name for it is "bacterial SSU rRNA". It matches the Rfam family "Bacterial small subunit ribosomal RNA", at positions 353 to 1482 of the family's 1533-position model. The record is from RNAcentral.
AGUGAGGAAUAUUGGUCAAUGGACGAGAGUCUGAACCAGCUAUCCCGCGUGCAGGAUGACGGCCCUAUGGGUUGUAAACUGCUUUUCUAUGCCAAGAAACCUUACUACGUGUAGUAAGUUGACGGUAGCAUAAGAAUAAGGACCGGCUAACUCCGUGCCAGCAGCCGCGGUAAUACGGAGGGUCCAAGCGUUAUCCGGAUUCAUUGGGUUUAAAGGGUGCGCAGGCGGGCUUGUAAGUCAGUGGUGAAAUACUGCCGCUUAACGGUAGAACUGCCAUUGAUACUGCAAGUCUUGAAUAUGGUUGAGGUAGGCGGAAUGUGUUGUGUAGCGGUGAAAUGCAUAGAUAUAACACAGAACGCCAAUUGCGAAGGCAGCUUACUAAGCCAUUAUUGACGCUGAGGCACGAAAGCGUGGGGAGCGAACAGGAUUAGAUACCCUGGUAGUCCACGCCGUAAACGAUGUUCACUCGCUGUCUGCGAUAUACAGUAGGCGGCUUAGCGAAAGCAUUAAGUGAACCACCUGGGGAGUACGAUCGCAAGGUUGAAACUCAAAGGAAUUGACGGGGGCCCGCACAAGCGGAGGAACAUGUGGUUUAAUUCGAUGAUACGCGAGGAACCUUACCUGGGCUUAAAUGUAGAUUGCAUAACUUAGAAAUAGGUUUUCCCUUCGGGGCUAUUUACAAGGUGCUGCAUGGUUGUCGUCAGCUCGUGCCGUGAGGUGUCGGGUUAAGUCCCAUAACGAGCGCAACCCCUAUCGUUAGUUGCCAGCGGAUAAUGCCGGGGACUCUAGCGAGACUGCCACCGUAAGGUGAGAGGAAGGUGGGGAUGACGUCAAAUCAGCACGGCCCUUAUGUCCAGGGCUACACACGUGUUACAAUGGCCGAUACAAAGGGCAGCUACCAGGCAACUGGAUGCUAAUCUCUAAAGUCGGUCCCAGUUCGGAUUGGAGUCUGCAACCCGACUCCAUGAAGUUGGAUUCGCUAGUAAUCGGAUAUCAGCAAUGAUCCGGUGAAUACGUUCCCGGGCCUUGUACACACCGCCCGUCAAACCAUGGAAGCUGGGGGUACCUGAAGUCUGUGACCGCAAGGAGCGGCCUAGGGUAAAACUAGUAACUAGGGUU